UACGAAGGGGGCUAGCGUUGUUCGGAAUUACUGGGCGUAAAGGGCGCGUAGGCGGCCUUGUGAGUCGAGUGUGAAAUCCCCGGGCUCAACCCGGGAACUGCGUCCGAUACUGGCUGGCUUGAAUCCGGGAGAGGGAUGCGGAAUUCCAGGUGUAGCGGUGAAAUGCGUAGAUAUCUGGAGGAACACCGGUGGCGAAGGCGGCAUCCUGGACCGGCAUUGACGCUGAGGCGCGAAAGCCAGGGGAGCAAACGGG
RNAcentral lists this ribosomal RNA (253 nucleotides) under uncultured prokaryote. RNAcentral's name for it is "partial 16S ribosomal RNA". It matches the Rfam family "Bacterial small subunit ribosomal RNA", at positions 524 to 776 of the family's 1533-position model. The record is from RNAcentral.